RNAcentral lists this long non-coding RNA (379 nucleotides) under Elaeis guineensis (African oil palm). Its description in RNAcentral is "long non-coding RNA (EGUI_LNC046361)". Lineage: Eukaryota; Viridiplantae; Streptophyta; Magnoliopsida; Arecales; Arecaceae. The record is from RNAcentral.
CGGGCCUUUGACUUUGCUCAUGUCAGGACGAGGUCCUCCUCCUAUUCCUGACAUGGCUGUGGAGGCACAUUAGGGUGCUGUAAGGCCUCUCCCCCCAUCCGAUCUAAAAGAACCAGGCCUUUGACCUUGUCCAUGUCAGGACGAGGUCUUCCUCCUGUUCCUGACAUGGCUGUGGGGGCACAUUAGGGUGCUGUAAGGCCUCUCCCCCCAUCCGAUCUCGAGAUAAUCGGACCUUCAUUUUAGGUAUGUUAGGAUGAGGUUCUCCUCCUGUUCCUAACAUAACUUUGUUUCAGGCGUUUGAAGGGGUUAUAUCCAGUCGUGACAAAUCCAUGCCAAAUGGGAAGAGUACGUCAAGUAGAAAGAAAUUUAGAUUCAAGGU